This 253-nucleotide ribosomal RNA is filed under the name uncultured bacterium. RNAcentral describes it as "partial 16S ribosomal RNA". It matches the Rfam family "Bacterial small subunit ribosomal RNA", at positions 524 to 776 of the family's 1533-position model. The record is from RNAcentral.
UACGUAGGGAGCUAGCGUUGUUCGGAAUCACUGGGCGUAAAGCGCACGUAGGCGGAUUUGCGCGUCAGGGGUGAAAUCCCGGGGCUCAACCUCGGAACUGCCUUUGAUACAGCAAGUCUUGAGUUCGAGAGAGGUGGGUGGAAUUCCUAGUGUAGAGGUGAAAUUCGUAGAUAUUAGGAAGAACACCGGUGGCGAAGGCGGCCCACUGGCUCGACACUGACGCUGAGGUGCGAAAGCGUGGGGAGCAAACAGG